RNAcentral lists this long non-coding RNA (3423 nucleotides) under Sus scrofa (pig). RNAcentral's name for it is "lncRNA (ENSSSCG00005030536.1)". The record is from RNAcentral. Lineage: Eukaryota; Metazoa; Chordata; Mammalia; Artiodactyla; Suidae.
CAUCCUCACAGAGACUAUAUCAGAUUCUUAACCUGCUGAGCCACAGUGGGAACUUCUACAAAGCUUUUUGAUUAGCCUUUUGUUUGCUUUGUGAUCCACUGCCUCUGAGAGUCAGUGUUCAACAGUUUCCCCUGUUUGUUUUCAGCAAACACCCCCAGGGAAAAUGCUACAGGUGAGUUCUUAGUCACCUUGAAAGUGGGGUUUUCCUGGUCAUAUGAUGAUAGUUCUCAGGGAAUGAGAGUUCGAAGAACCUCUAGCUUCAUUUGUCCCUCUAUUGGCUGCCAGGCUAUGGUUUUUCAGGGCUAAUGGCAGAGCUUAGGGGUGACAUAGAAUAGGAAUAAUACAAGUUUAAAAUGCCAUGAAGUUCAUCUUUCUUACUAAGAUUCAGCCUUUUAUAUGAAUAAAUACUGCCCAGGUUGCUGUAAGAUGUAGAAUUCUGAAAAAGUUUGUUUUGCCAGUGACCUCAGUGCUUUUAUAGAUGAGAGAAUUUUCAGAGGUCCUUCCUCUUAUUUUCACUGUUUGCUCUUUACUUUGAGAAUUAGAUUACAGUUUUUAUUUGUAUAAAUACUGAUAUUCUAAAAAAGAGAAAAAUAUUUUUUCCUUUUUUGGUCACCCUGUGGCAUAUGGAAUUCCAGGGCCAGGAAUCAGAUCCAAGCCAUAGCUGUGGCAGUGCCAAAUCCUUUAACCCACUGUGCUGGCUGGGAAACAGACCUGUCCUGGCACUGCAGAGACGCCACCAAUCCUACCAUGCCACAGUGGGAACUCUAAAAGUUGUUUUUUUGUGUUCUAGCAUUAUUAUUAUAGAGAGUGGUGGUUUGUUGUUUUUGUUUUUGUUUUUUUGUCUUUUUGUCUUUUUGUCUUUUCAGGGCUGCACCCUUGGCAUGUGGAGGUUUCCAGGCUAGGGGUCAAAUCCAAGCUACAGCUGCUGGCCUACGUUACAGCCACAGCAAUGCUGGAUCCUUAACCCACUCAGCGAGGCCAGGGAUGGAACCCACCACCUUAUGGUUCGUAGUUGGAUUUGUUUCCGCUGCUACACAAUAGGAACUCUGAUUUUUUUUAUUUUUUGACAGAAUCUCACUAGAAAUCAAGAAGCUGUUGCAAAAGAAAUGAGAGAAGAUGCAGAUGCCUAUAGACGAAAAGCGGAUCUUGAAGAACACAUGUUUCAUAGACUGAUAGGAAUGGAUCAAACCCAGAACCAAAAAACCCAGAAGUUAAUUGAAGAAAAUUUGGCAAAAGCUGAACAAGCGUGUCUAAAUACUGACUGGCACAUUCAAGCUUUACAUAAACAAAGAUGCCAUGAUCUACACCGAAAUGAAUGUUACCAGGAAAUGGCUAAACUCCUUCGGAAAAACAGAAGGAAAGAAAUAGAAAUAUUAAACGCAAUGAGGGAGAGGGAAGCCGAAAAGGUAGGAAUGGUGUUACAAACUUGUUAGUAAUCAUUUAAAUCUUGAAAUAGUACAUAAUCAAAUGGCAAAAGCAUCAAACCAAGUAAUCUUUCUUUGAAAAAACCUUAAAGAUGAUUUAAUUUUAAUAGGUUUUGCUCAGGAGGGCCAGUGUUGAUGUCACCAAGAAUGAUUAAGUGUCUUUUUUUUUUUUUGGUCUUUUUUAGGGCCACACCUGUGUCACAUGGAGGUUCCCAGGCUGGGGGUCAAAUCGGAGCUAUAGUUGCUGGCCUACAUCACAGUCACAGCAACAUGGGAUCCGAGCUGUGUCUGUGACCUACACCACAGCUCACGGCAAUGCCAGAUCCUUAACCCACUGAGCGAGGCCUGGGAUCGAACCCGAAACCACAUUGUUCCUAAUCUGAUUUGUGAACCACUGAACCACAACAGAAACUCCUGUCUUUCUCUUACAUUAGCAUCUCAACCUCCCAGCUUCCUGGAUAUGUUCUAGUAGUAGAAAAAUAGGAAAUUUAGGAGUUCCUGCUGUGAUGCAGUGGUAAAGGAUCCAUUGUUUUCUCUGCUGAGGUGCAGGUUUGAUCCCAGCCAGGCACAGUGAGUUGAGGAUCCAGCACUGCCCCAGCUAUGGCGUAGAUCACAGCUGUGGCUUGGAUUUGAUUCAGUCCCCAGCCUGGGAAUUUAGUAAAAAUAUACAAACAAUGUAAAAGAUUUUGAACAGUUAAGAAUUAUAUGUAGCUCCUGGUAAGAAAAACCAAAAUAACAGUGCCUAUAAGCAAGAUAGAGGUAUUUUUCUUUUCUUUUUUCUUUUUAGAGUCUCAGCUGUGGCAUACGGAAGUUCCCGGGCUAGGAGUUCCAGGCAGAGCUGCCGCUGCCAGUCUACACCACAGCCAGAGCAGCUGCAAAUCUAUACGACAGCUCAUGGGAACACUGGAUCCUUAACUCACUGAGCAUGGCCAGGGAUCGAACCUGAGUCCUGAUGGAUAUUAGGUUUGUUUCCGCUGAGCCAUGACAGCGACUCCCAAAAGUAUUUUUUUUUUUCACAUGAAGAAAGUCUGGAGGCAGGCAGUGCAGGGGUGGUGUCCUGGCUCCAAGGUCAUCAGGAAAACUGCCUCCUUCAGCCUUUCGGCACCACUUCUGGUGUAUGGCUUUCAUUCUCAAGGCUACCUCUCCAUCCAAGGUGACGGCGGUUCCAGCCAUCACGUACACCUUCCAUUCAGCCGGAAGAAGGGAGGACAGAGGGCAGGAGAUCCCACCGCCCAGCUGAGACAUCUUCUUUUGCACUGCUUUCCAGAAGUCCCCCGUCACAUUUGUAGCCACACUGGCUGCAGAGGAUAUCAAGGAAAGUAGUAUUUUUAGCAGGGAAGCAUUAUCAUCCCGAAUAAAGUCCACCUCUGUUGCUAAAGCAGCAGCAGAGAUGGAUUUUGAGCAGGCAGCUCAAGAGUGUGUGUCAUGCCGAUGUAUCUUUUGGCUGAUCCUCCCAGCAGCUCUGGACCAUCUUUCUGCUGCUCUCUUGUAAUGAAUUUUCUGAAAGCUUGUCGUAAUAUAUCCCCUUCAAGACGCUUUUCCAGAUUCAUUUCCCUCCUACCCCGCCCCUAACCCAUAACCCUUUUGUUCAAGGCCAGGGAGAGGCAGGGGUGGUGCCCAGAACACGGAGGGCGCGCUCCUCAGGGAACUGAUGGUGGGAGCCCCCAUCUCAAGGUCUCCAUCACUGACACCAGGGCGAGACUGUGUAAUUGGGUGCUGCUCUCCUUUGGGUAACGCGUGUAUUCGAGAGUAGAACUGAGAAUCACCGUGAGGGCUCCUCAUGUCAUAAGCUCUUUCGUGUCCAGUGUCCUGGGUUCUAAAUCUAGUCGGAUGACUGCCUGGCUUUGGCAGGUCAGUCUCCUCAUCCAGUAACAUGAAAGGGAUGGAUCGCUAUGGCCCUUCCUGGCCUUAAUGAUUGCUUAGUUUUUGUUACUUAAUAUGUAUUUAUUGUAUUAGCAUUUGUAUAACAUGAAAACUGUGUUGCAUAUAAAAGCUGUCG